GGGAGGGUAGUCUAGAUUGGUAUGAUACAGUAAGAUACUUGGCUGGGGGCCAAGUGGUCGGGGGUUCAAAUCCCCCCUCUCCCA
Molecule: transfer RNA, 84 nt
Filed under: Promethearchaeota archaeon
Lineage: Archaea; Promethearchaeati; Promethearchaeota
Description: Candidatus Lokiarchaeota archaeon tRNA-Pro
Rfam family: tRNA
About the family: Transfer RNA (tRNA) molecules are approximately 80 nucleotides in length.
Source: RNAcentral